Molecule: unclassified non-coding RNA, 292 nt
Filed under: Hevea brasiliensis (rubber tree)
Lineage: Eukaryota; Viridiplantae; Streptophyta; Magnoliopsida; Malpighiales; Euphorbiaceae
Source: RNAcentral
UUGGAUACCUUUCUAAUUUUGUUGUCACAUCCACCCGGAACAUUGUCAAUGGAAAGAUAAACACCUUGCCAUCUCUAAACAACCAAACAAGCUAAACUAACAGAAAUUAUAAAGCUAUACAAGCCAAUAAAAAUUCAAUAGCUUCACUUUCCCACAAGUCGACCAUGCCAGAAUCCUGGACAGGACGAUCACUCUAAGACAACCCACCAAAUAAUCUCAAUCCCGAGUAAUUUCAAAGGAAUUAAUCACUACACAGUAUUCACAACAUCCUCCAAAAAUGCUUGCUUAGUUA